CUCAGAGAGCUCAUGUUGCUCCCUGAUGGACUAUCUCCUUGAUUGUGAAGAAGGUCAGGCUGCUGUUUGCGUGGAAGAUGUUUUCAUGUUUGCAACUGGGCUAACUUCACUUCCCCCGUCUGGAUUGGAACCGCUGCCGAGGAUUGAGUUCCUGGAUGAUUCACCAUUCCCAAUGGCAAACACAUGUUCAAACACAAUGAAAUUACCACUGCUGGAUUCAUACAGUGUGUUUAAAUCACAUAUGGAUUUUGGAAUUCAGAAUUCGCCAGGAUUUGGCUGUUUUUAAAUCAGGUGUGAUUGGGUCCACUAGAUGUGGAUAAAUCACUACAGCUAGAGAACUCGCAUCCAUCUGCACUGGUGGACACACUUUAGCACUGUUAUUAUUUAAUUUUGUAAUAUAACUCUGCUGCAUUUUUUAUAUUUGAGAUUUUGAAGAAACCAUGUUUGAUUAUUGUUUAAGUUACAACUGAAGAUGUUUUAAUGUGUUCUUGUUUAUAUUAUGUUACAUUUGGACUGUUUCAUCAAAUCCUGAGCUCUGAAAGAGAGAUUUCCUGGUAAUAAAGCCAAAUCAAGAGUACUUAAAAUUAAACAUUUAUUUAUUUUA
Long non-coding RNA from Polypterus senegalus (gray bichir), 604 nucleotides. RefSeq lists it as uncharacterized. The transcript is spliced from 2 exons. NCBI's taxonomy places the organism in Eukaryota, Metazoa, Chordata, Cladistia, Polypteriformes, Polypteridae. The record is from RefSeq and is a predicted model, not a curated record.